RNAcentral lists this ribosomal RNA (429 nucleotides) under Gemmatimonadota bacterium. RNAcentral describes it as "Gemmatimonadetes bacterium partial 16S ribosomal RNA". It matches the Rfam family "Bacterial small subunit ribosomal RNA", at positions 355 to 776 of the family's 1533-position model. Lineage: Bacteria; Pseudomonadati; Gemmatimonadota. The record is from RNAcentral.
UAGGGAAUCUUCGGCAAUGGACGAAAGUCUGACCGAGCAACGCCGCGUGAGUGAAGAAGGUUUUCGGAUCGUAAAACUCUGUUGUUAGAGAAGAACAAGGACGUUAGUAACUGAACGUCCCCUGACGGUAUCUAACCAGAAAGCCACGGCUAACUACGUGCCAGCAGCCGCGGUAAUACGUAGGUGGCAAGCGUUGUCCGGAUUUAUUGGGCGUAAAGCGAGCGCAGGCGGUUUCUUAAGUCUGAUGUGAAAGCCCCCGGCUCAACCGGGGAGGGUCAUUGGAAACUGGGAGACUUGAGUGCAGAAGAGGCGAGUGGAAUUCCAUGUGUAGCGGUGAAAUGCGUAGAUAUAUGGAGGAACACCAGUGGCGAAGUCGGCUCUCUGAUCUGUAACUGACGCUGAGUCUCGAAAGCGUGGGGAGCAAACAGG